This 443-nucleotide ribosomal RNA is filed under the name uncultured bacterium. RNAcentral describes it as "SSU rRNA". It matches the Rfam family "Bacterial small subunit ribosomal RNA", at positions 26 to 518 of the family's 1533-position model. The record is from RNAcentral.
AGAGCGAACGCUGGCGGCAGGCCUAAAACAUGCAAGUCGAACGCCGUAGCAAUACGGAGUGGCAGACGGGUGAGUAACACGUGGGAACGUGCCCUUUGGUUCGGAACAACACAGGGAAACUUGUGCUAAUACCGGAUAAGCCCUUACGGGGAAAGAUUUAUCGCCAGAGGAUCGGCCCGCGUCUGAUUAGCUAGUUGGUGAGGUAACGGCUCACCAAGGCUACGAUCAGUAGCUGGUCUGAGAGGAUGAUCAGCCACACUGGGACUGAGACACGGCCCAGACUCUUACGGGAGGCAGCAGCAGGGAAUCUUGCACAAUGGGCGAAAGCCUGAUCCAGCCAUGCCGCGUGAGUGAAGAAGGCCUUAGGGUUGUAAAGCUCUUUUGGCGGGACGAUAAUGACGGUACCGCAGAAUAAGCCCGGCUAACUUCGUGCCAGCAGCCGC